CAUCUAAGUACCCGGAGGAAGAGAAAGCAAAUGCGAUUCCCUGAGUAGCGGCGAGCGAAACGGGAACAGCCCAAACCAAGAGGCUUGCCUCUUGGGGUUGUAGGACACUCUAUACGGAGUUACAAAGGAACGAUAUAAGCGAAGAGGUCUGGAAAGGCCCGCCAAAGAAGGUAACAGCCCUGUAACUGAAAUGUUGUUCUCUCCAGAGUGGAUCCUGAGUACGGCGGAACACGUGAAAUUCCGUCGGAAUCCGGGAGGACCAUCUCCCAAGGCUAAAUACUCCCUAGUGACCGAUAGUGAACCAGUACCGUGAGGGAAAGGUGAAAAGCACCCCGGAAGGGGAGUGAAAUAGAUCCUGAAACCGUGUGCCUACAAGUAGUCAGAGCCCGUUAAAGGGUGAUGGCGUGCCUUUUGUAGAAUGAACCGGCGAGUUACGAUCCCGUGCAAGGUUAAGCAGAAGAUGCGGAGCCGCAGCGAAAGCGAGUCUGAAUAGGGCGCAUGAGUACGUGGUCGUAGACCCGAAACCAGGUGAUCUACCCAUGUCCAGGGUGAAGUUCAGGUAACACUGAAUGGAGGCCCGAACCCACGCACGUUGAAAAGUGCGGGGAUGAGGUGUGGGUAGGGGUGAAAUGCCAAUCGAACCUGGAGAUAGCUGGUUCUCUCCGAAAUAGCUUUAGGGCUAGCCUCAAGGUAAGAGUCUCGGAGGUAGAGCACUGAUUGGACUAGGGGCCCCUACCGGGUUACCGAAUUCAGUCAAACUCCGAAUGCCGAUGACUUAUCCUUGGGAGUCAGACUGCGAGUGAUAAGAUCCGUAGUCGAAAGGGAAACAGCCCAGACCGCCAGCUAAGGUCCCAAAGUAUACGUUAAGUGGAAAAGGAUGUGGAGUUGCUUAGACAACCAGGAUGUUGGCUUAGAAGCAGCCACCAUUUAAAGAGUGCGUAAUAGCUCACUGGUCGAGUGACUCUGCGCCGAAAAUGUACCGGGGCUAAACGUAUCACCG
Molecule: ribosomal RNA, 1000 nt
Filed under: Bacillus pumilus
Lineage: Bacteria; Bacillati; Bacillota; Bacilli; Caryophanales; Bacillaceae
Description: partial 23S ribosomal RNA
Rfam family: Bacterial large subunit ribosomal RNA
Source: RNAcentral